CGCCAGACGCGCCGCCUCGACGCACGCGGCACGCGGCGACGCAGGAGGGAGGACUGCCGUGCCACGCGGCGACGCUGGCUGCUGGCCCGCCGAUCCCCCCGCCGGCGACGAGCUGCAGGCUGCCGCGCUCCCGCUGCUGCCCGCGACGAGCCGCCGCGCUAGCGCACCACCGCGACCUCCAGCUCCAGGGAUCCAGGCUCCAGCUCCACCCCCGCGACAGUGAGAGUUCUGCAACAUCCGACUGGUCUUGGUAGUUGGCCGACACAUUGAAGUAAUGGCAAAGGCAUUCUACUAUAUAGUGGCUGCAGUCUUGCUAUGCUCCACCACCCAUUUCCUCACACAUGCAUCUUCUUCAUCAUACAAGAGCUACAUCGUGCUCCUCGAGCCACCUCCAGGAGCUGAUACCAUGGACGAUGGUGCCCGCAACAGUUGGUACGAGUCUUUCCUCCCUAGCAACCUAACCGACUCUGGUGAACCACGCAUGCUCAGCUCUUACAAAUUCAUAUUUCACGGCUUUUGUGCCUUGUUAACCGAGGCUGAGCUCGAAGUCAUGUCCAAAAAGCCUGGCUUUUGCCACUGGAUCCCAGAUGAAUUGAUUGAACAAGAUUGGGAUUUGGAAGGUAGUACUCCUAAUUGGACUGACCCAGGGUUGGAGUAGGAAUGUACAAAAUAUUGUAUGCUCCCGGGUGGUGAUUGACAAUAAUAAUAAUAAGUUGAUCUGGUUUCUAGCACAGAAUUGAACGGGCUAUAUAUCUAGCAUGAAUUACUUACCUACAAUGGCUUCAUGUCAACUUCGCAUAUGAAUUUGAAUC
Molecule: long non-coding RNA, 812 nt
Organism: Lolium perenne
Lineage: Eukaryota; Viridiplantae; Streptophyta; Magnoliopsida; Poales; Poaceae
Source: RefSeq, a predicted model, not a curated record